Molecule: ribosomal RNA, 496 nt
Filed under: uncultured bacterium
Lineage: Bacteria
Description: partial 16S ribosomal RNA
Rfam family: Bacterial small subunit ribosomal RNA
Source: RNAcentral
GACGAACGCUGGCGGCGUGCCUAAUACAUGCAAGUUGAGCGCUGAAGGUUGGUACUUGUACCAACUGGAUGAGCAGCGAACGGGUGAGUAACGCGUGGGGAAUCUGCCUUUGAGCGGGGGACAACUUUUGGAAACGAAUGCUAAUACCGCAUAAUAACUUUAACCACAUGUUUUAAGAUUGAAAGAUGCAAUUGCAUCACUCAAUGAUGAUCCCGCGUUGUAUUUGCUAGUUGGUAAGGUAAAGGCUAACCAAGGCGAUGUUACAUAGCCGACCUGAGAGGGGGAUGGGCAAAACGGGAAUGAGACAACGGCCAAGACCCCACCGGAAGGAGGAGUAGGGAAACUUUGGGAAAGGAGGAAAGGCUUACCGGGCAACGCCGGGGGAGGGAAGAAGGGUUUCGGAACGUAAAAAUCUGUUGGUAGAGAAGAAACAUAGUGGGAGUGGAAAGCGCAUGAAGUGACGGUAACUAACCAGAAAGGGACGGCUAACUACGUG